UACGUAGGGCGCAAGCGUUGUCCGGAAUUAUUGGGCGUAAAGAGCUCGUAGGCGGCUUGUCACGUCGGGUGUGAAAGCCCGGGGCUUAACCCCGGGUCUGCAUUCGAAACGGGCUAGCUAGAGUGUGGUAGGGGAGAUCGGAAUUCCUGGUGUAGCGGUGAAAUGCGCAGAUAUCAGGAGGAACACCGGUGGCGAAGGCGGAUCUCUGGGCCAUUACUGACGCUGAGGAGCGAAAGCGUGGGGAGCGAACAGG
Molecule: ribosomal RNA, 253 nt
Filed under: uncultured bacterium
Lineage: Bacteria
Description: partial 16S ribosomal RNA
Rfam family: Bacterial small subunit ribosomal RNA
Source: RNAcentral